Bufo gargarizans (Asiatic toad) is the source of this 371-nucleotide long non-coding RNA. RefSeq lists it as uncharacterized. The record is from RefSeq and is a predicted model, not a curated record. The transcript is spliced from 3 exons. Lineage: Eukaryota; Metazoa; Chordata; Amphibia; Anura; Bufonidae.
CGGGGAUGAGACCAGGACAGUUCCUCGCAGGGACUUGUGCGGAUACCAGCCGGUGCCAGGCUCCUGUAUGAGAGACUUCAAGGAGGUCUGUCGGCCGGUGAGAUGUGUUGCUGCCUCGCUUUCCUGUUCACCCCUCUGCCGACCCCGGCCAUUUUCACUCUCAUUGCCAUCGGACUGACCGCUUUCUUCUAUGUUCUCACCAAGCCCAAGCCGGUGCAUCCCCCUAUAGAUCUGAACCGGCAGUCCACCGGGACACAGGGCGGAGCUCGGCGAUCCAUGUUACUGAAGGAUGACACCCUCAUGUCGUACUACUAUGAAGACGCCAAAACCUUGUAUGAAGUCUUCAUGAGGGGACUUCGAGUGUCGGGUAA